AAUUCGUGUUGUGGGCAUUUGCGAAGUAAACUCUUGUAUCGUUCCCAAGCCUUUGAAUAGCAUUCUAAGUCCAUUUGCUGAAAAUAGUAAUCUUAUCCUUUAGCUU
RNAcentral lists this small nucleolar RNA (106 nucleotides) under Olea europaea subsp. europaea. Its description in RNAcentral is "Plant small nucleolar RNA R71". It matches the Rfam family "Plant small nucleolar RNA R71". From Rfam's summary of the family: R71 is a member of the C/D box family of snoRNAs containing the C (UGAUGA) and D (CUGA) box motifs. Lineage: Eukaryota; Viridiplantae; Streptophyta; Magnoliopsida; Lamiales; Oleaceae. The record is from Rfam by way of RNAcentral.